Molecule: ribosomal RNA, 253 nt
Filed under: uncultured bacterium
Lineage: Bacteria
Description: partial 16S ribosomal RNA
Rfam family: Bacterial small subunit ribosomal RNA
Source: RNAcentral
UACAGAGGGUGCAAACGUUGUUCGGAAUUACUGGGCGUAAAGCGCGUGUAGGCGGCCCUGCAAGUCGGAUGUGAAAUCCCACGGCUCAACCGUGGAAGUGCAUUCGAAACUGCAGGGCUAGAGUCCUGGAGAGGAAGGUGGAAUGCUUGGUGUAGAGGUGAAAUUCGUAGAUAUCGAGAGGAACACCGGUGGCGAAGGCGGCCAACUGGACGAAUACUGACGCUGAGACUCGAAAGCGUGGGGAGCAAACAGG